UUUCUAUAUAAUAAACAUGUAUUACUUUGGUAAUAAAUAAAACAAGGGAUGAAAAUACCAAUAGUCUACAACUGUCCAUUCCCUAGCACAAGUAAAACACUCCUCAUAGGUGGUGCAUAUUACAGAGUUCUGAGCUAUCAUGUCACCUCUACCAGUGACCUACUAAACAGUAGUGAGAAAAGGGCAGGUCUGACAGGAUAAACUGGAGUAAUAAUUAGUAAGCUACGUGCUUUACAAAGUGCUUUCAUGGACAUGACCUCGUUUGAUCUUCAUAACUCAGUGAAAUGAGCAGAGAAGGCAUUAUCCCAUUUUAUAGAGGGGAAAGAGACAAUGAGCAAGGCCAGCUAAGUGUCAUGUCCCAAAAUUACAAAUCUUGGAUUUAAAUUGAGCCUUGACUAUAAAUUCUGACAGGCAUUCUAAGAGGAAUAGGGAACAAUCACUUCUGAUUAUUUAUAACUAGAAGGCAGUGAUUUAUAUGUGAAUUUAAAAAUAACCGUAUUUGCAAUUGUAUUAGUAUUCCUAUUAGAAUAUGCUGGGGGCCUCAGGGAUUUCCUAAAUCCCUAGGGCCCAACCGUGGAAGCUAUAUCUUGGCAACCCCAGCUUGCCCCUAGUCAACAUUACCUACUAAAGCACUGACAUUCAAAAAGAAUCUAAUUGCUUAGUUUUCAGAUGCAUUUCUUUCCUUCUUGAAAAACAGAAAGUAUCACCUUUUAGUUUAAAGCUGGUAAAAGAAAGUAACCAUAACUAUAUUUAUGAAUCCUGCAAAUAGUGACUUACAAGUUGAUGUCAAAAGAUCUAACUUAAUGGUACUUUAAAAUACCACCUUUUGGGCCAAACUUUUGUGUAUACCUGUAGACAAGAAACAGUCUCCAACUUCAAGUAUAUUCAGUGAAGAAAAUGAUCCAACUCCUCACAAAAAUAUCAGUAAACAUCUUUGGAGGCGUAUUAUUAACAAGCUGGUCAGCAUCUACUAGUGAAGCUUUGAAGCAUAAGGAAUCCGUAUAGCUAACCACUCCUACUAAUACUCCCAUGACUACCAGAAACUUAAAAGGUAAUUAAUUAAUGGUAGCUCUUGUUUUCUGGGCACUUCCUGUGUUAUCAGACACUCAACUAACCUCUUUAUAUACAUGAUCUUUAAAACAACCCUAUGAGAUGACUAUUAUCAACUCCAUUUUAUAGAUGAGGAACCUGAGUUUAAGUUACCCCAAAUCAUAAAACCAGUAAAAGCUUAAAGUGGAAUUCAAACUCUAGUAUAUUUUAUUUCAAAGAUGGGGCCUUUGUAGUUCUCUGGAAUACAAAUAUAACUUUUCUCUAGUGUAAGCCACCUACAAUGGUCUCAACACUUGGCAAUGAAUGGUAUGUGAAGUUCAUGAGUCUAUAUUUUCCAAAUAAAGAAAAAAUAUCCAGAGCCCACAAUUUAUGUCUGAUACUUUGCCACAUUCUAGAAUAGUUUGCUUUAAUAGCUGGUUUCUAUUAAAGCAUUGUUUUAACCCUUUUGAGCUGACAUGAUCACAUGAAAGAUAAAUUAAAAGAGUAUU
RNAcentral lists this long non-coding RNA (1538 nucleotides) under Canis lupus familiaris (dog). RNAcentral describes it as "lncRNA (ENSCAFG00845023385.1)". The record is from RNAcentral. Lineage: Eukaryota; Metazoa; Chordata; Mammalia; Carnivora; Canidae.